Hypanus sabinus (Atlantic stingray) is the source of this 1534-nucleotide long non-coding RNA. RefSeq lists it as uncharacterized. NCBI's taxonomy places the organism in Eukaryota, Metazoa, Chordata, Chondrichthyes, Myliobatiformes, Dasyatidae. The transcript is spliced from 4 exons. The record is from RefSeq and is a predicted model, not a curated record.
CGAUGCUGCCGCAGUCACCUUUUCUGUUUCACCGGUGGUGUGUUGUACCUGAGUCCGCGGUUCUUCAGUAGAAAGCUAUCAAAAGUGAGAUACCUUCCUCCAGAUAAUGGCCUUCCAAAAAACACUUGUCGUCCUGGUGUUUCUCCUGCUGCUUGUUAACACUGAGUUUUCCAAAGCUCAAAUGACCGGACAUUUUGAACACAGAUUAAACAGUAAUGCAGAGGGAAUUUCUUCACAGGAAAAUAUGAGCGAAAGUCUGAGAAGCAGAUUCCGACGACACAACAGAUGGCGAGCUGCCCAAAAGGAACGAGCACUCCCAGCAAUGAUCCAUCGGAAGGAAUUCAGUCUGCCAGAAACUUCAGUCAGACAGACAGACUGAACGACAUACUUUAUGGAUCCCGAAGGAAAUUGGGUCUCGUUACAUUCAUACUAAGCAGGAAUUGUGUAGAAAUAUAGCAAUAUUUAACCAGAAAUAAUUAAAUAAUUAUAAAUUAUGCCAAGUAGAAAUAAUCAGUGAUUCAUAGUCACUUUAUUUGUGACAACAUUAAUUCGUCAUGAGCUAAGUACUGUCUCUGUUAUAGUCUAUUCGUUUACUCUAUUAAUAAUUCAUAUUACAUUCGACCCAUUGAGUCUGCUCUGCCACUCCACCAUGAGCUGAACUAUUCUCCCAUCUAGAUCCAAUUUUCGACUUUUUCCCCAUAUCCCUUGAUACACUGACUAAUUAGAUACCUAUCAAUCUCCUCCUUAAGCACCUUCAAUGAUUGGGCCUCCACACUGUAUGUGGCAACGAAUUCCAUAAUUCCUCCACCAUCUGGCUAAAAAUAUGUACCUUUUGCGAUAAUUUGAUGAGAAUGCCAGCAGGAUAGAUAAAGGGGAUGCAGUGUAUUUUGUAUAUCUGGGCGUUAAGAGGUCCUUUGACACAAGUGCCACACAGAAGGCUGCGCAUUUAAUUAAGAGCCCAUGGUAUUACAAGAAUGUUACUAACAUGGGUAGUACAUUGGCUGAUUGGUAGGAGGCAGCGAGUGGGAAUAAAUGGAUCCUGUUCUGGUUGGCUGCCAGUGGCUAGUGGUGAUCCGCAGGGUUCCUAUGGGGCCACUUACUUUUAUGCUGUAUAUGAUGACUUAGAUGAAGGAAUAGAUGGCUUUCCUGCCAGGUUUGCAGAUAUUAGGAAUAUUGGUGGAGGGACAUGAAAUGUUGAGGAAACAGAUAUUAUAGAAACAUAGAAACACGGAACUACUGCACAAUACAGGCCCUCCAGCCUACAAAGCUGUGCCGAACAUGUCCUUACCUUAGAAAUUUUGCAUUAUGCCGAUGACCUUUUGCUUUAUAUUCCUAAUGUUGAGACUUUAUUAGCUAUCGUACAUUCUUUUGUCUCCAGUUUUAGUCAGUAUUCAGGAUAAGAGUGAACUUAUUCUAUUGAAUCAUUUAGUAUCAAUUAAUACUAACCUUCCUUUUAAAAUUGUAAGAAAUAAACUUACUUAUUUGGAUGGAACAAUUACUAAGAACCAUAAAUAGUUAUUUAAAGAAAAUUUGG